UGGCUUUUAGCUGAACUAAGGAGAAAGUCCUACAACAGUUUGGCGUGCAACAUGGGGCUUGAGAAAGGUAGAGACGGGGUUUCACCAUGUUAGCCAGGAUGGUCUCGAUCUCUUGACCUCGUGAUCCGCCCACCUCGGCCUCCCAAAGUGAUGGGAUUACAGGCGUGAGCCACCGCGCCCGCCCCUCCAUGAAGAAAGUAUUUCUAAAUGAAAAAUGUUUAGGACGCUCAGGAGACAAAGAACAGAUUAAGGAAUGAUCUCCACCGCACAGACCUCAAGCCUCUUAUGCGUGCAGGGCACAGUUCCAGUGCAAAUGUCCGCAGGGACGGACGGCAUGAGGGCCCCCACUGGGUGCCUCGGGCUCCUUCCAGGGCCGCAGUUGAAGCGGGUCGUACUGCAGGCGUGCAGAAAGGCUGGGGUUCCUCUCCUUUUCGGGCUCCUUCCUGAUGGAAUCCUAGGUUUUCAGCGGUUCCUUCCUGAUGGAAUCCUAGGUUUUCAGCGGUUCCUUCCUGAUGGAAUCCUAGGUUUUCAGCAGCUUCCGGAGGCGGCCUGGACUGCAGAAGGCGCCCGGGCAUGUGUACUUCCACCUCCGCAGGCGCUGGCAUCUCCAGGCUGCUUCAGGCCGCUUUGGACCUCACCAUCGGUAGCAUCUGCGUCUUCUUGAGGUGACUGGAGCCCGUCUGUGGUUUCAGCCAUUGACUUCUGGACAUGGGAGUGUCGAGGCCAUUUUUGGCCCCUCUCAUAUCCGGGAAGGGCUCCGUGCCCAGUGGAGGCGCAGUGCAGCAGCCAGCUCGCAGCAGCGCUCCCGUAGAGCCGAUGGCAUCGGCAGGAGUGGCGGCUCAGCACAGGGAAGUUAUCCAGUGCCCAGGCCCAGGCUUGCUCUCGGUUUAGGUCCCAUGGCACGUGGGGCUCUAGACCUGCCUGCCUCCAAGACAGCUCUUCCAAGGUUGAUGGUUGGAACUGCACAGCCUCAGCCUGGCAAGGCUUGACCAGGCCCAGCCAUAGCUAGUCUAGGAAAAGAGCAAAUGGCCGUGUUUUUAUAUUUUGACGUUUGCAUUUCAAUAUUAAUUUUUUUUGGUAAUCUAAUGCAUUCAAAACAUGGUUCUCAAAAAAAAAAAAAAGAAAAGAAAAAGAAAAAAGCAUGUUUCUAACCAGGGGUCCUUCAUCUUCUGCAGAGGCCAAGGGUGUCCCUGGCACAGUAAAAGUUUGGAAGCCCUGCCCUAAAGCCUCACCUCACCUGGCAGCUGGCUGUUUCAUUCAUAGCAAAUGUUCUGUAUAUUCACCAUGUACCAAACACACAUGUCACUAACGAUACAGACAUAUGUGCACUGACAUUGACCUCCUCACUGUCUUACUAUAGUCCCAUCCACAGCCACCUUAUCAGAGUCCAUGGGACUCUGACAACUUGUAAUGGGAAAAUUAACCAUGCCUGUAGGGGUGGACGGCCUGGGUAGCGGGAGGUGAUUUGUGAGUACCAGGAAAGCUGGCCCUGGGGCAGACCUGGGCAGGGCAGAGCACAGCUUGUAGGACCUAGUACACAGUGUGGGGAACUGAAUUUGGGUUUUGACCUUUAAAGCUGUGCAUAAAGUGUAAAACAAGAAGAGGAGUGGAGGCUGGGGUCGUAUUUGUAGUUUAAAAUGAGCAUUUGCCACACAAGGCCAGGAGCUUCAGACCAGCCUGGUUAACACAGCGAGACCCUCCUCUCUGUGAGAAAUUAAAAAAAAUAAUAAUAAAAGCCAGGCAUGUUGGCAUGUGCC
RNAcentral lists this small RNA (1757 nucleotides) under Pongo abelii (Sumatran orangutan). RNAcentral describes it as "processed transcript". Lineage: Eukaryota; Metazoa; Chordata; Mammalia; Primates; Hominidae. The record is from RNAcentral.